GGGUGAUUAGCUAAGCUGGGAGAGCACCUCCCUUACAAGGAGGGGGUCGGCGGUUCGAUCCCGUCAUCACCCACCA
RNAcentral lists this transfer RNA (76 nucleotides) under Escherichia coli. RNAcentral's name for it is "tRNA-Val". It matches the Rfam family "tRNA". Rfam says of the family: Transfer RNA (tRNA) molecules are approximately 80 nucleotides in length. Their secondary structure includes four short double-helical elements and three loops (D, anti-codon, and T loops). Lineage: Bacteria; Pseudomonadati; Pseudomonadota; Gammaproteobacteria; Enterobacterales; Enterobacteriaceae. The record is from RNAcentral. RNAcentral also lists the same sequence under 1 other name.